GACGAACGCUGGCGGCGUGCCUAAUACAUGCAAGUCGAACGCAGUGGGGACGGGUGAGUAACACGUGGGUAACCUCCCAUCAGAGGGGAUAACACUUGGAAACAGGUGCUAAACCGAUACUGAUGGAUGGACCCGCGGUGCAUUAGCUAGUUGGUGAGGUAACGGCUCACCAAGGCCACGAUGCAUAGCCGAACCGGGAGGGUGGUCGGCCAAAAGGGGAAUGGGAAACGGGCCAGACUCCUACGGGAGGGAGCAGUAGGGAAACUUCGGCAAUGGACGAAAGUCUGAACGAGCAAAGCCGGGGGAGUGAAGAAGGGUUUCGGAUCGUAAAGCUCUGUUGUUAGAGAAGCGGUAACUAACCAGAAAGGGACGGCUAACUACGUGCCAGCAGCCGCGGUAAUUC
Molecule: ribosomal RNA, 403 nt
Filed under: uncultured bacterium
Lineage: Bacteria
Description: partial 16S ribosomal RNA
Rfam family: Bacterial small subunit ribosomal RNA
Source: RNAcentral